RNAcentral lists this long non-coding RNA (668 nucleotides) under Setaria viridis. RNAcentral's name for it is "long non-coding RNA (SVIR_LNC000524)". Lineage: Eukaryota; Viridiplantae; Streptophyta; Magnoliopsida; Poales; Poaceae. The record is from RNAcentral.
UAACCGUCUGAUGUAUACAUUACCACGGCUAUACUGCACACUACAAUGAUAUUGACACAACUCAGAAUAUGUCUUCAAUUUAAUUUAGUAACAUAACAGCGAAUACAUAGUUAUUUGACAUCAACAAUUUACAUCAACAUACUAUAACCACAUUAAGUUUCACAAAAAGUGUGGUCAUGAUUUACAAUCCCCAAUUAUUUAUACACCUAAUUUAUUGGAGAACUUCAUGUAUCUAUGACCCCCUUCAGCUCAACUAAUGGCAUUUCCUACUUAGUCAACUGCUUUUCCAUUUCUUUACAGCUCAUAUUCGUGACCAUUUCUAUAGAGUAAGCAAAGCUAUAUAGAUCUACUCCUAUCUUUCUAUGCAGAGACUAAAUAUUGAUGAACUAACCUAUGAAUCACUUGGGUUCCAGCGAUAAUCCUACCACAGUGCAAGCGAACGUUUCACUUUACUGUGAGAAUCGAAAGAGAUCCAAGUACCUUUCCUCCCCUUCUUCCUUACUCCGAUCUGUUCAAAAUGAAACAUGGAUCAGUUAGUCGAAUCAAAUCCAACAAGCAUCAUCAGAUAGCUUUUAACUAUUCACUACAUACCAACCAACUUCCUCUAUCUUAUUAACCGUUGCCGUGCACCUAUCCCUCAGGCACUAUCCGGAUUGAUGCUCCCUUUC